Molecule: ribosomal RNA, 778 nt
Filed under: uncultured bacterium
Lineage: Bacteria
Description: bacterial SSU rRNA
Rfam family: Bacterial small subunit ribosomal RNA
Source: RNAcentral
GAGUUUGAUCCUGGCUCAGGACGAACGCUGGCGGCGUGCUUAACACAUGCAAGUCGAACGGAGCGAAUGAAAGCUUGCUUUUAUGAGCUUAGUGGCAAACGGGUGAGUAACACGUAGACAACCUGCCGACAGGAUGGGGACAACAUUCCGAAAGGAAUGCUAAUACCGAAUGAAGCGGAGGAGAGGCAUCUCUCUUCCGUGAAAGAUGGCCUCUGAAUAUGCUAUCACCUGUCGAUGGGUCUGCGUCUGAUUAGCUAGUUGGUGAGGUAACGGCUCACCAAGGCGACGAUCAGUAGCCGGUCUGAGAGGAUGAACGGCCACAUUGGGACUGAGACACGGCCCAGACUCCUACGGGAGGCAGCAGUGGGGAAUCUUCCGCAAUGGGCGCAAGCCUGACGGAGCAACGCCGCGUGAGUGAAGAAGGUCUUCGGAUCGUAAAGCUCUGUUGAUGGGGACGAACGUGCGAAGGGUGAAUAAUCCUUUGUAAUGACGGUACCUAUCGAGGAAGCCACGGCUAACUACGUGCCAGCAGCCGCGGUAAUACGUAGGUGGCGAGCGUUGUCCGGAAUCAUUGGGCGUAAAGGGAGCGCAGGCGGGCAUGUAAGUCUUUCUUAAAAGUUCGGGGCUCAACCCCGUGAUGGGAAAGAAACUACAUGUCUUGAGUACAGGAGAGGAAAGCGGAAUUCCCAGUGUAGCGGUGAAAUGCGUAGAUAUUGGGAGGAACACCAGUGGCGAAGGCGGCUUUCUGGACUGCAACUGACGCUGAGGCUCGAAAGCC